Molecule: transfer RNA, 74 nt
Filed under: Ovis aries (sheep)
Lineage: Eukaryota; Metazoa; Chordata; Mammalia; Artiodactyla; Bovidae
Rfam family: tRNA
About the family: Transfer RNA (tRNA) molecules are approximately 80 nucleotides in length. Their secondary structure includes four short double-helical elements and three loops (D, anti-codon, and T loops).
Source: Rfam by way of RNAcentral
UCCCUAGUGGCUCAGAUGGUGUGAAGCAUCUGCCUACAGUGCAGGAGACCCGGGUUCAAUCCCUGGGUUGGGAA